GCUCAAUGAUUAAUUUUAAAUAGCUGCAGAAUUUUAACUGUACAAAGGUAGCAUAAUAAAUAGUUUUUUAAUUGAAAACUAGAAUGAAAGAUUUAAUGAAAAAUAAACUUUAUUAGUUAAAUAAAUUAAAAUUUUUUUUAAAUAAAAAUAUUUAAAUAAACUAAAUAAACAAAAAGACCCUAAAAACUUUAUAAAUUCUUAAAAUAAUUUAUUUAAUUGGGGAAAUUAUAAAAUUUAAUUAAUUUUUAUUUUUAACUACAAAAAUACUUGAAUAAAACAUUUUUUAAAAAAAAUUAAUUUAAGUUACUUUAGGGAUAACAGUAUAAUUUUUUAUUUUAGAUCAUAUAAAUUAAAAAGUUUAUAACCUCGAUGUUGAAUUAAGAUACAAAUAAAAUGAAACCAUUUUAAUUUUAAGUCUGUUCGACU
This 426-nucleotide ribosomal RNA is filed under the name Chelonus sp. YC-2000. Its description in RNAcentral is "partial 16S ribosomal RNA". Lineage: Eukaryota; Metazoa; Arthropoda; Insecta; Hymenoptera; Braconidae. The record is from RNAcentral.